This is a long non-coding RNA of Prosopis cineraria, 3067 nucleotides long. RefSeq lists it as uncharacterized. Lineage: Eukaryota; Viridiplantae; Streptophyta; Magnoliopsida; Fabales; Fabaceae. The record is from RefSeq and is a predicted model, not a curated record. The transcript is spliced from 2 exons.
CAAAAAGGUGCUCGUAAUAUUCCCUUUUCUUCCCAAAGCGUCAUUCGUAUUUCUCAAUGCACUUGCUCUCCAUUGCUUCCUCUAUUUUCACUCCAACAAAUCCCUCUGCAACUUCAUGCCAUCUUCUGGAGAUCACUUGGAUGAUUGCCCCUCAUUCAGAUUUGCUAAAGGUCAGAUAUGUCAUAUUUGUCAGCUGCAUGAAGAAGGACAAGCCUGUGUGUGAGAAAUUCUUCAGUUUUUAUGCUACCAUAAAGAUAAUUGAGGAAUGCCUGGCAAGCAUCAAUGGACAUGUCUUCAAUGUUUAUAGUUGAUAGCUCCUUCUCCUUGAGGUUAUGCGAGAACAUGCUGCGAAAAACAGGGGAUCGGGCAGCAAGAACUGCACGAUGAGCUCCAAUGCUUCCAUCAGAUGCAUUGAUCAGUAUGUCUGUGUGGAUUCCUUCAGCUAGCAUUCGACCAAGAGCUUCAAGAGCCGUUGCAUUUGAUGCCUUCGGUGUAAGUCCUUCAGCCCAGAUGGAGGAAGGUUCUCCACCCUGCAUUACACCAGCAAGUUGUAAACGAGGUACGUAAUUAUUUAAGGUCAAUGAGUUUGUUCAGAAACUUUAUCUUGAUUGAACAUAUGAUUAGCAUGAUUCUUCUUCAUUCUCACUUAUUAUUUAUCAAGAUUGAGUGAAAGGGAUUGAUAUAAAGUGGUUGUGACUAGAUCAUUACAGUAGAUUAUAAUUUUCUCAAAGUGAGGCAAAAUAGAAGUCAAGGAAGUGUACGUUUGGAGAUGCAGUCUUUAAAUCAAGGAACUCGACGUCAACAAUGAAUUUCCCUGUUACUGGAACCUCGAGUGCCCAAACAAAGUCUUCGCUGUUCUUGAUCAGUCUGUCUUUCACGACUGUAUCAUGUAGAGUAGUAAUCAGUCAAAAAAUGACAAAUAUGUCAUCUUGUUAAGAAUUUUAGGACACUACACCUCCUCCCCAUGGAAAAUUACUGAGAAAUUUUGAAUAUGUAUACAUUGGAUAAUACAUAACACCUUUUCUAUCCUCCAAUUCAACUUUCAAAACAUAAGUCGGGCAAGGAGAGGAUCAAAUAUGGCAGUGUUGAACAGAGAAAAUUUCAUACCAUUAAUUCAUAUCCUUUUUUUCCAAAAUAAUAAUGAAUUAACAAGAAAAUAGAUUCGGCUCAUUCUGGAGUUUCAGUUCUUUAUUAAGAUUUUCACUGAACUCUUAAUCAUCAAGAGAAAACUCUUAUACAGAUGAUGAUUUAAAAAAAAAGGAAAACCCUCAACCUUCCUAGAAUUAUCCAGUUUAUCAAAGAAAGGGGGAAAAAAAAGCAGAACUCUGGUUACCUGGAUGGGUCAAGGCCUUGCGAUCCCCGGCAGAACUAACGACCCGAAUGAUAAAAGAUGCAAUCGGGGGAUUGUCUCUGGUUAUAUUCGAAAUUUCUGGGUAUAAUUUUAUAAAUAAAACCCGGUUCUUCUCCACGGCCAAAUGCCUUCACUUAAAAGAAAGAAAGAAACUCAGUCUAUUUCAAGUAGGAAACUUUCCCUUCAUUUUCUCUCAUUUUCUGAGCUAACAAACACUCAAUUAUAAUUUACAUGAAUUGAGGGUUGAGUGGCUUACCAGUUCCACUUGCCGAUCUUGAAAGGAUCAGAUUUGCGGUAAGUGCAGGAAGCAGGGUUUUCGAUUCUCCAUUGGGCGAGGCGCGACGUGGUUUCGACUCUGUAAGCAGAAUCGCUCAUCCUACCAGAAAAGGCAAGAGCCACAGUAAUUUCAUGGAUGCAAUCGAAGAUACCCUCCAACAGAAAUUCUCCGGGCUUUCCCAGGUUGACUAAUUCUUCUUAACCCUUCACUCCUCAUUCAUAAAAAAAGAUUAUACUCUGUUCUUCUUCACUCUGUUUCUCUCACUGUACAAGUGUAGCAAUUAAAGACACCAAAACCCAGAAAGACACAAAAUUUCCUAUAUGGGUUUUGAUUAUUUCUUAACUUCUCCCAAUAGUUCCGGGCACGCAAGGAUUUCGGAGUUGCUUCUACUCCAUUGAUAGUGAGCCUUUCCAGGAAGAGAGAGAGGAAGAAAAUAAUAUAUUUGAUGCAAAGCUAAGAAAGAGAGUUAGAGAGAGAGAGAGAGAGACUGAGCCAAAGAGAAGGAUUUGGUGGAAUUGUUGGCUUACACAACACUUUCUUUGGUGUGGGAUUGUGAUGGGUGAGAGAUAUAUAUGGCUGAUUAUUGAUUGCUUGCACCAUUGAUUCAUUGAUGGAAAUACGAGAGGCAUACGUGGAUUGUAGUAUUGACCUUGCCGGACCUGCUUGCAAGGGAAAAGCAUAUUUUAAUUUUUGGUGCUUUGAAGCAAAGUAUCUAUCUAUCAAUCCUUUGGAAAUUUCCAAAUGACCCUUCACUGUUUUUGGCUUUGGAAACAAUAAAUAUACUUUGUUUUACCUCUCAAAAUACCAUUGCCUCUCUGGGUUUCUCUCUUUGACUCUCUCUCUCUCUCUCUCUCUCUCUCUCAACUUUCAGGCAAUGAAUUAUUCUGUUGUUCAGGGAGUGAGCAGUAUUGUAUUUUAUUGCCUUCUGAAAUGGGUAGAGAGGAACAGUCCAUACUCAGGAAAAUCAGUUUCAUACCGUACGUGCCCAUUCCUCCAUGGUGAUGUUUACUAGUGGACCAAUAAAAACGCUUCACGUUUUGAACAUUAUCUGCUUUCUUGACCUUUUCUGCAUAAUUAGUUGGCCUCAAUCUGAUCCUCGUCGUCUCUUUCUGAUCUUAGUUACGGAGAAGAAGAUGAAGAAAGGCCAAGUGUAUUUAUGGUUUCACCGAUGAUUCUGCAGAUAAAACAGGUGAGGUAUUGAUUGUUGUGAUUGUUAUUAUUAGUUCAGGAAGUUUUCCAGAAUUAGUGAGCCAACAAUGUUUUUUUCCCCUCUUCUUUCUCUUGUUGGUUCGAGGUAAGAUGAAGAUAAGUGAAGCUUCUUGUUGGGGGAGGAAUUCCAAAAGCUCAAAAAAUCAAUGUAAUUAAAGAAUCACAAGGAAAUACCUUUCGUACCCAGCUUCAGCUGUUUAAUCUUUAAUCACUUGAGAAAUUAGCCGCAC